Molecule: ribosomal RNA, 254 nt
Filed under: uncultured bacterium
Lineage: Bacteria
Description: partial 16S ribosomal RNA
Rfam family: Bacterial small subunit ribosomal RNA
Source: RNAcentral
UACGUAGGGACCAAGCGUUGUUCGGAUUUACUGGGCGUAAAGGGCGCGUAGGCGGCAUGACAAGUCACUUGUGAAAUCUCUGGGCUUAACCCAGAGCGGCCAAGUGAUACUGUCGCGCUAGAGUGCGGAAGGGGCAAUCGGAAUUCUCGGUGUAGCGGUGAAAUGCGUAGAUAUCGAGAGGAACACCUGAGGUGAAGACGGGUUGCUGGGCCGACACUGACGCUGAGUGCGCGAAAGCCAGGGGAGCAAACGGG